RNAcentral lists this long non-coding RNA (6468 nucleotides) under Sus scrofa (pig). RNAcentral describes it as "lncRNA (ENSSSCG00065064382.1)". Lineage: Eukaryota; Metazoa; Chordata; Mammalia; Artiodactyla; Suidae. The record is from RNAcentral.
UUUUUUUUAGGGCCUCUCUUGUGGCAUAUGGAAGUUCUCAGGCUAGGAGUCAAAUCAGUGGAAUCAGAGCUAUAGCUUCUGGACUUUGCCGCAGCCACAGCCACAGCCACACAGGAUCCAAGCUUUAUCUGUGACCUACAUCCCAGCUCGCAGCAACAUCAGAUCUUUAACACAGUGAGCAAAGCCAAAGAUCAAAACCACAUCCUCAUGGAUACUAGUUGGGUUCUUAACCCUAUGAGCCACAACUGGAACUCCUUUUUCAACAGUAUUUUAUAUUUUUGAGUCAAUACAACUGCAUGUCCUUUGUUAAAUUUAUUCCUAGGCAUUUUAUUCCUACUAAUGUUAUUGUAAAUGGAAUCAUUUUGCUAAUUCCACUUCCAGAUUGUUCAUUGAUAAUGUAUAGGAGUACAACUGAUUUUUGCAUCUUUGCGUCUUGCAAUUUUGCAGAAUUCAUUAUCAACUCCAGUAAUUUUGUAGUGUGUGACAUCUUUGGAAUUUUCUAUACAUAAGGUCAUGCCAUCUGCCAGAGAGAGUUUUGCUUCUUUCUUUAUAAUCUGGUUGUCUAUUAUUUCCUUUUCUUGUCUAACUAGCUAGAACUUGCUCUACAGUGUUGACUAAAAUAGGUAAAAGUGGAUUUACUUGUCUUUUUCCUGAUCUUAGGGGGAAAGCUUUCAGUAUUAAGUAUGUUAUUACCUGUGAGUUUUCAUAGAUGCUCUUUGUAAAACUGAGGAAUUUCCCUUCUAUUCCUAUUUUGUUGAGUAUUUUUAUCAGGAAGACAUGUUUUAUUUUUGUCAAUGUUUUCUACAUCUAUUGAGAUGAUCAUGUGUCGAAUUUUUUUACCCUUUAUGCUAUUGUUGUGGUGUACCACACUGGUUGAUUAAGUUUAACCAAUCUUCUAUUCCUUGGGCAAAUCCCACUUGUCCAUGGUACAUAAUCCUUCUUCUAUAUUGCUAGAUUCAGUUUGCUAGUAUUUUGCUGAGGAUUUUUGCAUCUACUUUCAAAAGAAAUAUUGGUGUGUAGUUUUUUUUUUUUCUUGUGAUAACUUUGUCUGGCUUUGAUAUCAGAAUAAUACCAGCCUCACAGAGGGACUUUGGUUUUGAUUUUAAUUUUACUAUUCAUCACGUUUAAAUUCGAGGUAGUCACUCAACUUAAAGCUUGGAUUCCUCAGCUCCAGAUUAAUAAUAACUUCGUACAUACAAAUGGUUGUGAGGGUUAAAUGAAUUUAUUAUGCAUGCUUUGUAAACUGUCACUCACAGUAUUUAUAUCACACUAUAGGUGUUGGUUUGGGUGUUGAGAAUAAUAGCAGCAAUCAGGGUUGGGGUAGAAUUAGACACCUAUGCAAUUUAACUAAGAUUACUCUACUUUAUCUCUCUUAGUCUUUAUUAUAGCUUGUAUAAAAUGAGUCACAAUCAUUCCAAUUGUAUUACGAUAGCCACGUUAGUAAUAGUAAUAUAACUAUAAUGAUAUAAUGACAUCAGUGGGUGUGUGCAUAUAUAUAUAUAUAAUACUACAUAUAUUGAAUGCACACUGCCUCAAGAACUUGACACAUAUUGCCUUAUUUCAUCCUCAUAAUGCCAGAUGAAGCUGUGAUUAUCUUUCCUCAUUUUCUUUUUUUGCCUUUUGUCUUUUAGGGGCCACACUCAUGGCAUAUGGAGGUUUCCAGGUUAGGGGUAGAAUCAGAGCUGUAGCUGCUGGCCUAUGACACCAUGACCAAUCAGCUCGGGAUCCGAGCUACGUCUGUGACCUACACCACAGCUCACAGCAAUGCCAGAGCCUUAACCCACAGAGCAAGGCCAGUGAUUGAACCCGUGUCCUCAUGGAUACUAGCUGGGAUCAUUAACCACUGAACCACAACAGGAACACCUCUUUCCUCAUUUUCUAAGUAAGGACGGUGUCUGAAGUUUGGAUUGAACUUGUUCAAGGUCACACAGCUCUGAAGUCACAGAAAAUCAGUCAAAUCUGUGACAGUAAUACUCAUAAAAUUAGUUUUCACUCUUGUUCAAGAGUUGCUCUCAUGUUUAUAUAAGUAAGAUGAAUCAAAAUUUUUUUCAAAACUAUAUAUAUAUUUUAUGAAAUACCAAUGGAUUUAAGUUAAAAUAAGAAGAACUCUAUUUUUUUCUAUUACCUUGAAAACUAACUUAUUUACAAAAUUUUUUCCUAUAGCGCUGGAAUAAAUUAACAUUACGCAUGCUGAAAAUGUCUAACCACCACCCUCGCACAUCUCUGCAGUGAAUAGCUCAUAGGCCUUGGCAAUUCAGACAAGUGUUUCUGAGAUAAAACACUAUACAUUUAUAGAAAACAUUUAACAUCAGUGGCUGAAUGUCUCCCGCUAAAGCCCAAAACAUAACAAUUAUCUUUUUUUUUAAGAUCUCUCAUAAUGAGGUGAAUUUGGAUUGAUUUAAACAUCCUUGACUGCCUCUUGUGCUUACAUGUAGAACAUUAUUUAAAUAAAAUUUGGAAAUUAUAAAAGAAUCAGAGUCCUAAAAUAUUUCUGUUCCCUACUGGGUUUAUUUGGUAUUUCACAUAAAACGUAGGGACAAAACUUCGAAAUUUGGUAGAGGCAAAUCAGAAACAAACGAGAAACAACACCACUGUAACCUAGCAGUAAAACCAUGGUUUGAUUUAAUAGGUUUAAACAUACAGUAUUAAAUCAAUAAUUUAAUGUAUUGCCAGUAGAUUGCGAGUGAGCUGACAAGUAUGUUUUGGGAUUGCAUUCUUGACCCUGAGGUUGACCUGAGGGAGAUGUCAUGACUAGUGAUGAUCCUUGGUGUCUCCAUCAAAGACAGGGUCCUUAUUAGAUUACAUUAUUUUGUAUUUUGAAUGAAAGUGCUCAGAAUUGAAAAAUAUAAAGUUUAGUAAAGUGCCACAUUGAAGUGUUUUAAUCUUACCAAGCUUUCUAAAUCAUAUCCAUUUAGAAAUUCUGAGAAUCGAGAACAUUUGUCUUGUUUAAAUAAUGAAUUCCAAAUAAUUUUUGAAAAUAAGGAUCCAAAUUCUAUUUAAAUUUAAUUUAAGGUAGACAGAGAUGCAGGACAGGUAAAUUUCCUUCUCUCUUAAAAUAUACGUUAAAUUAAAUUCAUUUCAAAUUCCAGGUGUAAGACAGAUAAGCCAUAGGUACACAAUGGAGAGCAUGAGGAAUACGGUCCAUGGUAUUGUAAUAAUUUUAUGUGGGGACAAAUAGCUAGGAGACUUAUCAUGGUGAUAAUUUUGUAAUGUAGGUCAAUGUCAUAUCAUUGUAAUAAACUUAAAGCUAACAUAAUAUUAUAUGUCAACUACAUGUCAAUAAAAAAUAAAUAAAUAAAUAGCAGUCCAUCUCUAUUUAUGACAAAAAUUCACAGAAACCAAGAGAGCCUCCUUAAUCUUACAAAGGACACCUAUAUACAUACAUACAUAAAUCCUGAAGCUAAUAUUAUAAAAAAGUAUUUUUGAUACUUUUAUUUGUAUCAUUACAAGUGAAAGAUUUUUUUAUAUGGUUGAGACUGACAUAACGUAAAGUUUGAAUUACGGCUACACAUUUUACUUGAACCUUGUGUUUAAAGGAUUUAGAUUUACUUUCUAAUUUACUCAUUUAUGGAUGGCCAGUUUGGCUUUAUCAAGAUAUUUUGAUAUGUCCUCAUUUGGUCUUCCUCGUACGCAUGCUUGAUACAAAGAACAGAACAGAAGCACAGCUAAAACUAAUAAUAGCAAUUUCCCCACCUCACUUGCCACUCUCAGUUGGGUCCGCUUGCAUUUAUUGGUAAGAUUCUGCAAAAGAGUAGCCACAUCUGCACUAUCUCAGAGAAGAGCCCUGCGGUGCAGUAUUAAAGCCUGCUGGGUGCCCACACUAGUCUACAUAUUAAAUGCAUUGAUGACCUCUUUUGAAAUAAAAUGAAAAUUAUGAGAACAGACUUUGAACUCUUCACAUUAAAGGGGUUUUCUUUCCCUACAAAAUAAAUGCCGUAUUUAGUUGGAAGAAAAUAAAGCAGAACUUUGAAAGAAUUGCGAACAUAAGAUACAACAGGGGAAAAGAAGAUUUGACGGCCUAGGUGACAGGGAAGUUCUCUUUUUUAUGCAGUCCUCUGGCUAUGUUCACGCUGGAAUAGUCAGCUAGAUAAUUGUCCUUAGGCUAUAAGCAUUCAUACAAAUAUUUUAAAUAAAAGAUAUUAGCUUUCUUCACUCAUGGCAAUAUCUAAGUUUACCACUCAAGGAUAAAUUUAAAAAAAAAUGUUUCUACAAGAAAAGGCCAUUUUGUUUUAUUAUUCCUCAGAGGCUCUGUCUGUAAAAUGGCACUAGAAUACAGUUAUUCCUCUAAUGUGGUGGUUCUUAAGAUGUAGUGAUUCCCAUACACAUUUAAAUACAUAGUGAAAUGCAAAGGCUUCUAUUCCCUUUAAAUUGUUUGAAUAAACAUAUGUACAUACUACCUGGAACUUCUUCAGGGCCUUCCAAGUUCAGAACCCCAGCCCUGUAGAGUCUUAGCAAUUGGAAGCAUCUUGGAGAUAUGCCAUUUUUCUGCCACAAAUUAAGGAGGACCCACAAACUGAAACUGUGUAGGAAGAGGGAAUUGCCUUUCUACCACUGCCCAGGAUUAGGUUUCCCUAGCAACUAUCUUGCAGUCCACUCUAGCCACCUGCUUCUGGAACAAUUGUUUCAUUCAAGUUUGAUGUAAACACCUAAAGAUGCUGAUGUAGGUGGGGGAAAGGUAAGGCUGUCAAUGUGUGAGAGUCACUCGACAUCUGAGGAAAGAAUGUCUUUCCUUAUAAUUUCCAGUCAUCAAUGGAUAUUCUUGUUAAUAACUAUUCGUGUGGGCCUGUGUAGUGUACACUUAACGAAAUGCUUGUAUUAAGCCAACAGCAUUAUUAUUCAAAUUAGCAUAUAUUUCCCUAUACAUUCACUACAAAAGAGCCACAAUAUAGUAUGCAUUUUCAUCACUCAGGUACAUUUUUGGUAAAAUAUCAUGGGUUAAUUUGUACUCUAAACUUUUAUCCAAAUAUUGUUUCGUAGACAUACUACAAAUUUAACUAACAAAUGAAAAUAACCAAAAUAAACAAUCAACAUACAUAUUAUGAGAAGAUAGGUAUGCAAUAGUUUUAAACAUCUCCUAAUCUGACACUUUGCCAAUUUGCUUCCUAUUAGAAACACCUGGGAGUUGAAAAAACUCACAAUGCCCCAGGAAUAUCUCAUACCAAUUAAAUCAAAAUGUCUUGCAACAAGAGCUAGACACAAGUAGGUAUUUAAAAAAAAAAUUUAGUAAAUAUUUUAUUUAGGAUUUCUGUAUCUAUGUUUACAAUUGAAAUGGGCCCAUUUUAAUUGAAUAUAUUUGACAUAUAAAAUCGUGUAAUUUUAAGGUGUACAAAGUGUUAAUCUGGUAUGUUUAAAUGUUGCAAUAUGAUUGCUACUGUAGUAAUAUUUAGCAUGUCUAUUACAUUACAUAAUUAUCCUUCUUUGUUAGUGGUUGGGGUAAGUAAUUUUCAGUCUCUUAGCAAGUCUGAUGAUGGUUGUCUAUUUUCCUUAUGCCGUGCAUUAGAUCCCUAUGACUUAUUUACUACUUACUAUAAAUUUGUACCUUUAAAGACAUCAUUCUUAAUCCUUCUACCCUCUAUCCCUUAGCAUAAUGUGCUCGAGUUUCAUCCAUGUUGUCACAAAUGGCAGAAUAUUUUUCUUUCUCAUGACUUACUAUUUCAUUGUAUAUGUACACACCACAUCUUUUUAUCAAUUCUUCUGUUGAUGGGCAUUUGUUUCCAUAUAUUUGCUAUUGUAAGAAAAAAAAAUUUUGCAAUAAACACGAGAGGGCAUAUAUCUCUUCAGGAAAGGGCAUAUAUAUCUGUAUUGGGUAGAUACUCAAAAAUACAAUUGUCGGAUGAUACGGUAGAUCCAUUUUUAAUUUUUUGAGGAACCUCCGUUUUGUUUUCCAUAGUGGUAGGAUAAAUUUACAUUCCCAACAAAAAUGUGUAAGGGUUUCCUUUUCUCCACAUUCUCCCCAGAACCUAUUGUUUCUUGUCUUCUUGACAACAGCCAUUCUAACAGGUAAGAAGUGAUAGCUCAUUGUGGCUUAUAUUUGCAUUUCUCUGGUGAUUUGUGAUGUCAAGCAUUUUUUCAGGUGCCUGCUGGUUAUUUUGAUGUCCUCUUUGGAAAAAUGUCUAUUUAGUUCUCUGCCCAUUUUUUAAUCGGAUUAUUUUUCUGUUAUUAUCUAAAUUGUAUGAGUUCUUUAUAUAUUUUAGAUAUAAUCCCUUAUCUGACACAUAGUUUGGAAAGUUUUUCUCCCAUUCCAUACAUUGUCUUUUCAUGUUAUUAAUUUUUUCUUUUGCUAUGCGGAAACUUUUGAGUUUGCUUUUAUAGUUCAGGCAUCGGUAGUUUUUAAAGAUCUCUGUUUAAACUAAUGUGAAACAAAAUUUGGAAACACUGCCCUAAAUCUCUGUUCAAAGUGUAGUCCUUGUGUCAGCAGCAUUGAAUCACCUGAGAGAUUUCUAGAAAUGCAGAAACCUUGGCCCUACC